UACGUAGGGUGCAAGCGUUGUCCGGAUUUAUUGGGCGUAAAGAGCGUGUAGGCGGCCCGGUAAGUCAGCUGUGAAAGUCAAGGGCUCAACCCUUGAAAGCCGGUUGAUACUGUCGGGCUAGAGUCCGGAAGAGGCGAGUGGAAUUCCUGGUGUAGCGGUGAAAUGCGCAGAUAUCAGGAAGAACACCAAUGGCGAAAGCAGCUCUCUGGGACGGUACUGACGCUGAGACGCGAAAGCGUGGGGAGCGAACAGG
Molecule: ribosomal RNA, 253 nt
Filed under: uncultured bacterium
Lineage: Bacteria
Description: partial 16S ribosomal RNA
Rfam family: Bacterial small subunit ribosomal RNA
Source: RNAcentral